RNAcentral lists this ribosomal RNA (497 nucleotides) under uncultured bacterium. RNAcentral's name for it is "partial 16S ribosomal RNA". It matches the Rfam family "Bacterial small subunit ribosomal RNA", at positions 28 to 507 of the family's 1533-position model. The record is from RNAcentral.
GACGAACGCUGGCGGCGUGCCUAAUACAUGCAAGUUGAGCGCUGAAGGUUGGUACUUGUACCCACUGGAUGAGCAGCGAACGGGUGAGUACCGCGUGGGGAAUCUGCCUUUGAGCGGGGGACAACAUUUGGAAACGAAUGCUAAUACCGCAUAAAAACUUUAAACACAAGUUUUAAGUUUGAAAGAUGCAAUUGCAUCACCCAAAGAUGAUCCCGCGUUGUAUUAGCUAGUUGGUGAGGUAAAGGCUCACCAAGGCGAUGAUACAUAGCCGACCUGAGAGGGUGAUCGGCCACAUUGGGACUGAGACACGGCCCAAACUCCUACGGGAGGCAGCAGUAGGGAAUCUUCGGCAAGGGACGAAAGUCUGACCGAGCAACGCCGCGUGAGUGAAGAAGGUUGUCGGAUCGUAAAACUCGGUUGGUAGAGAAGAACGUUGGUGAGAGUGGAAAGCUCAUCAAGUGACGGUAACUACCCAGAAAGGGACGGCUAACUACGUG